RNAcentral lists this ribosomal RNA (472 nucleotides) under uncultured bacterium. RNAcentral describes it as "partial 16S ribosomal RNA". It matches the Rfam family "Bacterial small subunit ribosomal RNA", at positions 28 to 507 of the family's 1533-position model. The record is from RNAcentral.
GACGAACGCUGGCGGCGUGCUUAAUACAUGCAAGUCGAACGCUGAAGCUGGGUCCUUGCUCUGGGUGGGAGUGGGGCACACGGGUGAGAAGUAUGUGUAAAACCCGCGCUAGAGUCGGGGAAAAGCUGGGGAAACUGGGUAAAAUAGCGGAAAUGACAUGCUACUGCGUGGUGGUGUGUGGAAAGGGAUUUGCUGGUUUUGGAUGUGCUCCUGGCCUGUCAGCUUGUUGGGGGGGUAAUGGCGCACCACGGCGAAGCGGGGUAGCCGGCCUGAGAGGGUGACCCGCCACACUGGCCCUGGGGCACGGCCCGGACUCCAACGGGAGGCAUCGGUGGGGGAUAUUGCGCGAUGGGCGGAGGCCGGAUGCAACGACGCCGCGUCGGGGAUGACUGCCUUCGGGUUAUAAACCUCUUUCGGCUGGGAAGAAGCGAGUGUGACGGUACCUGCAGAGGAAGCGCCGGCUAACUACGUG